Molecule: ribosomal RNA, 425 nt
Filed under: uncultured bacterium
Lineage: Bacteria
Description: bacterial SSU rRNA
Rfam family: Bacterial small subunit ribosomal RNA
Source: RNAcentral
GAAUAUUGGACAAUGGGGGGAACCCUGAUCCAGCCAUGCCGCGUGUGUGAAGAAGGCCUUUUGGUUGUAAAGCACUUUAAGCGCGGAGGAGGCUACUCUAGUUAAUACCUAGAGAUAGUGGACGUUACUCGCACAAGAAGCACCGGCUAACUCUGUGCCAGCAGCCGCGGUAAUACAGAGGGUGCAAGCGUUCAUCGGAUUUGCUGGGCGUAAAGCGCGCGUAGGUGGCCAAUUAAGUCAAAUGUGAAAUCCCCGAGCUUAACUUGGGAAUGGCAUUCGAUACUGGUUGGCUAGAGUAUGGGAGAGGAUGGUAGAAUUCCAGGUGUAGCGGUGAAAUGCGUAGAGAUCUGGAGGAAUACCGAUGGCGAAGGCAGCCAUCUGGCCUAAUACUGACACUGAGGUGCGAAAGCAUGGGGAGCAAACAG